AUACGAAGGGUGCAAGCGUUAAUCGGAAUUACUGGGCGUAAAGCGCGCGUAGGCGGUUUGUUAAGUCAGAUGUGAAAGCCCCAGGCUCAACCUGGGAACUGCAUUUGAAACUGGCAGGCUAGAGUGUGGUAGAGGGAAGUGGAAUUUCAGGUGUAGCGGUGAAAUGCGUAGAUAUCUGAAGGAACAUCAGUGGCGAAGGCGACUUCCUGGACCAACACUGACGCUGAGGUGCGAAAGCGUGGGUAGCAAACAGGAUUAGAUACCCUAGUAGUCC
This 274-nucleotide ribosomal RNA is filed under the name uncultured bacterium. RNAcentral's name for it is "partial 16S ribosomal RNA". It matches the Rfam family "Bacterial small subunit ribosomal RNA", at positions 523 to 796 of the family's 1533-position model. The record is from RNAcentral.